Molecule: ribosomal RNA, 405 nt
Filed under: uncultured bacterium
Lineage: Bacteria
Description: partial 16S ribosomal RNA
Rfam family: Bacterial small subunit ribosomal RNA
Source: RNAcentral
UAUUGCGCAAUGGAGGAAACUCUGACGCAGCGACGCCGCGUGAGCGAUGAAGGUCUUCNGAUCGUNANGCUCUGUCCUUGGGGCANCAGGUCUUCGGACUUGACGGUACCCAUGGAGGAAGCCCCAGCUAACUACGUGCCAGCAGCCGCGGUAAUACGUAGGGGGCAAGCGUUGUCCGGAAUUAUUGGGCGUAAAGGGUGCGUAGGCGGCCUUUUAAGUCAGAUGUGAAAGCCCACGGCUCAACCGUGGGAUCGCAUUUGAAACUGGAGGGCUUGAGUAUCGGAGAGGGUAGUGGAAUUCCCAGUGUAGCGGUGAAAUGCGUAGAUAUUGGGAGGAACACCAGUGGCGAAGGCGACUACCUGGACGAUUACUGACGCUGAUGCACGAAAGCUAGGGGAGCAAACA